Molecule: ribosomal RNA, 206 nt
Filed under: uncultured bacterium
Lineage: Bacteria
Description: partial 16S ribosomal RNA
Rfam family: Bacterial small subunit ribosomal RNA
Source: RNAcentral
CGCGUAGGCGGUCAGCACAAGUCAGUUGUGAAAUCUCCGGGCUUAACUCGGAAAGGUCAACUGAUACUGUGCGACUAGAGUGCAGAAGGGGCAACUGGAAUUCUCGGUGUAGCGGUGAAAUGCGUAGAUAUCGAGAGGAACACCUGCGGCGAAGGCGGGUUGCUGGGCUGACACUGACGCUGAGGCGCAAGCCAGGGGAGCGAACG